Long non-coding RNA from Amblyraja radiata (thorny skate), 999 nucleotides. RefSeq lists it as uncharacterized. The transcript is spliced from 3 exons. The record is from RefSeq and is a predicted model, not a curated record. NCBI's taxonomy places the organism in Eukaryota, Metazoa, Chordata, Chondrichthyes, Rajiformes, Rajidae.
UAUUUCCAGAUCCUGAUGGAAAGGAAUAUGUCCUUUGCCAACAAUUGUGGCAGUGGUUGCAGUGAUUCUCGUCGCACUCUUGUUGCUCCUAGUUUUGGUCUGCAUAAAAUGUAAAUUAUUGUCCAAAUUGUGGCAACCAAUCCCCGAUGCUGAAGAGAAGUUCAGAGGACUUUUUGAAGAGUGCAAUGGAGAUUUUCAGAAAUGGAUUAACAAGAGUAUCCAGCUGACGAAUAAAGCGGAAGAAUGCUCGUUGACCACUGCAAAAGAAUUCCAAGAGUCUUAAAAGAGACGUUGACACAUUCCCUUCUGGUUUCAUCAUGGCAAUCCGUUGGUCUUCAUGGAGGAGGAAGAGGGAGUUCUAUUUAAAUGGAGAUUGCAAAAGAAAAUGGUGUCUCGAUUGUAGUUCAUGAAACCUUUCUUUCUGCCAGUGGGCGUGUGUAGUAAUGGCCCCACACUGGACUUUCCAAUGAGCACAGGACUUUGGAUGAAGUUCGCUAAAGUAUUAACAAGUAGAGAGGAGAGAGACACACGGUUGGAUUCUUCUUUCCAUGAAACUGUUUGCAAGGAUUUCAAUUCAAGAGUCAAGAUUGUUCUAUUGUCAUUUGUCCCAGAUAGGACAAUGAAAUUCUUACUUGCAGCAGCACGACAGAAUAUAUAGACAUUGUACACUGUAAACAAUUUAAAUAAGUGAGAAAAAAAAGUUCAGUGUGUGUACUCACACACGUACACAUACAAAAUAACACACACACACACAAUGGACAGACGCCCAGAACAUUUUUUCCCAGGGUUGAACGUAGAAGGUCAAAGACUGGAGGACAUAGCGUUAAGGUGAGUGAGAGGGGCAAAGAUUGAAAGGCAUGUUUUUUUACAUAGGGAGUGGUGAGUGCCUGGAAUGUGCUGCCAGAGGAGGUAGUUGACUAUGUUGGAAACUUUCAAAUCAGGUGUCAGGGCUCACGACAGCACAGAGUCUGCCUUGUUGAAGGUACAUAAUGACCUACU